Molecule: ribosomal RNA, 254 nt
Filed under: uncultured bacterium
Lineage: Bacteria
Description: partial 16S ribosomal RNA
Rfam family: Bacterial small subunit ribosomal RNA
Source: RNAcentral
UACGGAGGGUGCGAGCGUUAUCCGGAAUCACUGGGUUUAAAGGGUGCGUAGGCGGCCGGAUAAGUCAGUUGUGAAAUCGCUGGGCUCAACCCAUGCAAUUGCGAUUGAUACUGUCUGGCUUGAAACAGGUUGAGGUAAGCGGAAUGUGGCAUGUAGCGGUGAAAUGCAUAGAUAUGCCAUAGAACACCGAUUGCGAAGGCAGCUUGCUGGGCCUGGAUUGACGCUGAGGCACGAAAGCGUGGGGAGCAAACAGG